CACUAUCGUUAACUGAAUACAUAGGUUAACGAGGCGAACCGGGGGAACUGAAACAUCUAAGUACCCCGAGGAAAAGAAAUCAACCGAGAUUCCCCCAGUAGCGGCGAGCGAACGGGGAGCAGCCCAGAGUCUGAAUCAGCUUGUGUGUUAGUGGAACGGUCUGGAAAGUCCGACGGUACAGGGUGAUAGUCCCGUACACCAAAAUGCACAGGUUGUGAACUCGAAGAGUAGGGCGGGACACGUGGUAUCCUGUCUGAAUAUGGGGGGACCAUCCUCCAAGGCUAAAUACUCCUGACUGACCGAUAGUGAACCAGUACCGUGAGGGAAAGGCGAAAAGAACCCCGGCGAGGGGAGUGAAAAAGAACCUGAAACCGUGUACGUACAAGCAGUGGGAGCACCUUCGGGUGUGACUGCGUACCUUUUGUAUAAUGGGUCAGCGACUUAUAUUCUGUAGCAAGGUUAACCGUAUAGGGGAGCCGCAGGGAAACCGAGUCUUAACUGGGCGUUAAGUUGCAGGGUAUAGACCCGAAACCCGGUGAUCUAGCCAUGGGCAGGUUGAAGGUUGGGUAACACUAACUGGAGGACCGAACCGACUAAUGUUGAAAAAUUAGCGGAUGACUUGUGGCUGGGGGUGAAAGGCCAAUCAAACCGGGAGAUAGCUGGUUCUCCCCGAAAGCUAUUUAGGUAGCGCCUCGUGAACUCAUCUUCGGGGGUAGAGCACUGUUUCGGCUAGGGGGUCAUCCCGACUUACCAACCCGAUGCAAACUACGAAUACCGAAGAAUGUUAUCACGGGAGACACACGGCGGGUGCUAACGUCCGUCGUGAAGAGGGAAACAACCCAGACCGCCAGCUAAGGUCCCAAAGUCAUGGUUAAGUGGGAAACGAUGUGGGAAGGCACAGACAGCCAGGAUGUUGGCUUAGAAGCAGCCAUCAUUUAAAGAAAGCGUAAUAGCUCACUGGUCGAGUCGGCCUGCGCGGAAGAUGUAACGGGGCUAAACCAUGCACCGAAGCUGCGGCAGCGACACUAUGUGUUGUUGGGUAGGGGAGCGUUCUGUAAGCCUGCGAAGGUGUGCUGUGAGGCAUGCUGGAGGUAUCAGAAGUGCGAAUGCUGACAUAAGUAACGAUAAAGCGGGUGAAAAGCCCGCUCGCCGGAAGACCAAGGGUUCCUGUCCAACGUUAAUCGGGGCAGGGUGAGUCGACCCCUAAGGCGAGGCCGAAAGGCGUAGUCGAUGGGAAACAGGUUAAUAUUCCUGUACUUGGUGUUACUGCGAAGGGGGGACGGAGAAGGCUAUGUUAGCCGGGCGACGGUUGUCCCGGUUUAAGCAUGUAGGCUGGUUGUCCAGGCAAAUCCGGAUAAUCAAGGCUGAGGUGUGAUGACGAGGCACUACGGUGCUGAAGUAACAAAUGCCCUGCUUCCAGGAAAAGCCUCUAAGCAUCAGGUAACAUUAAAUCGUACCCCAAACCGACACAGGUGGUCAGGUAGAGAAUACCAAGGCGCUUGAGAGAACUCGGGUGAAGGAACUAGGCAAAAUGGUGCCGUAACUUCGGGAGAAGGCACGCUGGUGUGUAGGUGAAGUCCCUGCGGAUGGAGCUGAGACCAGUCGAAGAUACCAGCUGGCUGCAACUGUUUAUUAAAAACACAGCACUGUGCAAACACGAAAGUGGACGUAUACGGUGUGACGCCUGCCCGGUGCCGGAAGGUUAAUUGAUGGGGUUAUCCGUAAGGAGAAGCUCUUGAUCGAAGCCCCGGUAAACGGCGGCCGUAACUAUAACGGUCCUAAGGUAGCGAAAUUCCUUGUCGGGUAAGUUCCGACCUGCACGAAUGGCGUAAUGAUGGCCAGGCUGUCUCCACCCGAGACUCAGUGAAAUUGAACUCGCUGUGAAGAUGCAGUGUACCCGCGGCAAGACGGAAAGACCCCGUGAACCUUUACUAUAGCUUGACACUGAACAUUGAGCCUUGAUGUGUAGGAUAGGUGGGAGGCUUUGAAGCGUGGACGCCAGUCUGCGUGGAGCCAACCUUGAAAUACCACCCUUUAAUGUUUGAUGUUCUAACGUUGGCCCCUGACCGGGGUUGCGGACAGUGUCUGGUGGGUAGUUUGACUGGGGCGGUCUCCUCCCAAAGCGUAACGGAGGAGCACGAAGGUUAGCUAAUCCUGGUCGGACAUCAGGAGGUUAGUGCAAUGGCAUAAGCUAGCUUGACUGCGAGCGUGACGGCGCGAGCAGGUGCGAAAGCAGGUCAUAGUGAUCCGGUGGUUCUGAAUGGAAGGGCCAUCGCUCAACGGAUAAAAGGUACUCCGGGGAUAACAGGCUGAUACCGCCCAAGAGUUCAUAUCGACGGCGGUGUUUGGCACCUCGAUGUCGGCUCAUCACAUCCUGGGGCUGAAGUAGGUCCCAAGGGUAUGGCUGUUCGCCAUUUAAAGUGGUACGCGAGCUGGGUUUAGAACGUCGUGAGACAGUUCGGUCCCUAUCUGCCGUGGGCGCUGGAGAAUUGAGGGGGGCUGCUCCUAGUACGAGAGGACCGGAGUGGACGCAUCACUGGUGUUCGGGUUGUCAUGCCAAUGGCACUGCCCGGUAGCUAAAUGCGGAAGAGAUAAGUGCUGAAAGCAUCUAAGCACGAAACUUGCCCCGAGAUGAGUUCUCCCUGAGACUUUAAGUCUCCUGAAGGAACGUUAAAGACGAUGACGUUGAUAGGCCGGGUGUGUAAGCGCAGCGAUGCGUUGAGCUAACCGGUACUAAUGAACCGUGAGGCUUAACCUU
RNAcentral lists this ribosomal RNA (2758 nucleotides) under Klebsiella pneumoniae. RNAcentral's name for it is "bacterial LSU rRNA". It matches the Rfam family "Bacterial large subunit ribosomal RNA". Lineage: Bacteria; Pseudomonadati; Pseudomonadota; Gammaproteobacteria; Enterobacterales; Enterobacteriaceae. The record is from RNAcentral.